CAGCCGCGCGGUAAUACGAAGGGUGCAAGCGUUAAUCGGAAUUACUGGGCGUAAAGCGUGCGUAGGCGGUUUGUUAAGUCUGUUGUGAAAUCCCCGGGCUCAACCUGGGAAUGGCAAUGGAUACUGGCAAGCUAGAGUGUGUCAGAGGAUGGUGGAAUUCCCGGUGUAGCGGUGAAAUGCGUAGAGAUCGGGAGGAACAUCAGUGGCGAAGGCGGCCAUCUGGGACAACACUGACGCUGAGGCACGAAAGCGUGGGGAGCAAACAGGAUUAGAUACCCCGGUAGUCCCUGUCUCUUAUACU
Molecule: ribosomal RNA, 301 nt
Filed under: uncultured bacterium
Lineage: Bacteria
Description: partial 16S ribosomal RNA
Rfam family: Bacterial small subunit ribosomal RNA
Source: RNAcentral